CAGCCCCUCGAGUGGUGGGGAUGAUUAUUUGGCCUAAAGCGUCCGUAGCCGGCCCUGUAAAUCUCUCGUUAAAUCCAGCGUCCUAAGCGUUGGGCUGCGAGAGAGACUGCAGAGCUAGAGGGUGGGAGAGGUCAGCGGUAUUCCUGGGGUAGGGGCGAAAUCCAUUGAUCCCAGGAGGACCACCAGUGGCGAAGGCUGCUGACUAGAACACGCCUGACGGUGAGGGACGAAAGCUGGGGUAGCGAAUCGGAUUAGAUACCCGAGUAGUCC
RNAcentral lists this ribosomal RNA (270 nucleotides) under uncultured archaeon. RNAcentral's name for it is "partial 16S ribosomal RNA". It matches the Rfam family "Archaeal small subunit ribosomal RNA", at positions 477 to 747 of the family's 1478-position model. The record is from RNAcentral.